RNAcentral lists this ribosomal RNA (492 nucleotides) under uncultured bacterium. RNAcentral describes it as "partial 16S ribosomal RNA". It matches the Rfam family "Bacterial small subunit ribosomal RNA", at positions 28 to 507 of the family's 1533-position model. The record is from RNAcentral.
GAUGAACGCUAGCUACAGGCUUAACACAUGCAAGUCGAGGGGAAACGACAUCGAAAGCUUGCUUUUGAUGUGCGUCGACCGGCGCACGGGUGAGUAACGCGUAUCCAACCUGCCCAUCACUUGGGAAUAACCUUGCGAAAGUAAGACUAAUACCCAAUGACAUCCCACGAAGACAUCUGAAUGGGAUUAAAGAUUUAUCGGUGAUGGAUGGGGAUGCGUCUGAUUAGCUUGUUGGCGGGGUAACGGCCCACCAAGGCAACGAUCAGUAGGGGUUCUGAGAGGAAGGUCCCCCACAUUGGAACUGAGACACGGUCCAAACUCCUACGGGAGGCAGCAGUGAGGAAUAUUGGUCAAUGGGCGAGAGCCUGAACCAGCCAAGUAGCGUGCAGGAUGACGGCCCUAUGGGUUGUAAACUGCUUUUAUAAGGGAAUAAAGUGGGUCUCGUGAGACUUUUUGCAUGUACCUUAUGAAUAAGGACCGGCUAAUUCCGUG